AAUUAGAAAUAUUGUCUGGAUUUCUAUUUUGAGAAAGAAAAUGAUCCACUUACCUUUUCUAUGAAGAGGUAUUUAUAAUUUAUCAGCCUGGGCAACCUUUUGCAUCUUCUCUGCUUGCUUCUGAAGACACUUUUUUCAUGGAAUCGAAGAAACAUUCAAGUCAUUUUAGCCUCUGGGUUUUCCCCCCUUGAAAAUGAGCCAUUUUUCCGGUUUGCUAUCCGGUGUGAAGGUCCCAAGAAGAUUAUAUUUGAUCUGCAAAUGUCCAUUAUCUAGUGCAAAAGGCUCAGGUGGAUCAUGAUUUAAUAUAAAUCAUAGGGUCAGCCCAGAGGCUAAAAUGACUUGAAUGUUUC
Molecule: unclassified non-coding RNA, 350 nt
Filed under: Hevea brasiliensis (rubber tree)
Lineage: Eukaryota; Viridiplantae; Streptophyta; Magnoliopsida; Malpighiales; Euphorbiaceae
Source: RNAcentral